AGUGAACGCUGGCGGCGUGCUUAACACAUGCAAGUCGAACGAGAACGGAUUAUAGCUUGCUAUAAUUGUCAGCUAAGUGGCGCACGGGUGAGUAAUGUAUAGGUAAUAUGCCUCUUACUAAGGGAUAACAAUUGGAAACGAUUGCUAAUACCUUAUAUUCCUUUUUAUCAAAAGAUAAAAAGGGAAAGAUUUAUUGGUAAGAGAUUAGCCUGUAUUGUAUCAGUUAGUUGGUGGGGUAAUGGCCUACCAAGACGAUGACGCAUAACUGGUUUGAGAGGAUGAUCAGUCACACUGGAACUGAGACACGGUCCAGACUCCUACGGGAGGCAGCAGUGGGGAAUAUUGCACAAUGGACGAAAGUCUGAUGCAGCAAUGCCGCGUGGAGGAUGACACAUUUCGGUGCGUAAACUCCUUUUAUAUAAGAAGAUAAUGACGGUAUUAUGUGAAUAAGCACCGGCUAACUCCGUGCCAGCCGCCGCAGUAA
Molecule: ribosomal RNA, 484 nt
Filed under: uncultured bacterium
Lineage: Bacteria
Description: partial 16S ribosomal RNA
Rfam family: Bacterial small subunit ribosomal RNA
Source: RNAcentral